GAUGAACGCUGGCGGCGUGCCUAAUACAUGCAAGUCGAACGCAUAGCGAAAGGUGCUUGCACCUUUCAAGUGAGUGGCGAACGGGUGAGUAACACGUGGACAACCUGCCUCAAGGCUGGGGAUAACAUUGGAAAAAGGAGCCUAAUACGAAUAAAAACUUGGUGCCCAAUAAACAAAGGUAAAAAGCGGCUCCGGCGUAACCAAAAGAUGAUUCUCGGUUCAUUAGUUAGUUGGUGGGGUAAAGGGCUACCAAGGCAAUGAUGCAUAGCCGAGUUGAGAGACUGAUCGGCCACAUUGGGACUGAGACACGGCCCAAACUCCUACGGGAGGCUGCAGUAGGGAAUCUUCCACAAUGGGCGAAAGCCUGAUGGAGCAACGCCGCGUGUGUGAUGAAGGCUUUCGGGUCGUAAAGCACUGUUGUAUGGGAAGAACAGCUAGAAUAGGAAAUGAUUUUAGUUUGACGGUACCAUACCAGAAAGGGACGGCUAAAUACGUG
RNAcentral lists this ribosomal RNA (496 nucleotides) under uncultured bacterium. Its description in RNAcentral is "partial 16S ribosomal RNA". It matches the Rfam family "Bacterial small subunit ribosomal RNA", at positions 28 to 507 of the family's 1533-position model. The record is from RNAcentral.